UGCGUAGAUAUAGGAAGGAACACCAGUGGCGAAGGCGACCACCUGGACUGAUACUGACACUGAGGUGCGAAAGCGUGGGGAGCAAACAGCAUUAGAUACCCUGGUAGUCCACGCCGUAAACGAUGUCAACUAGCCGUUGGGAGCCUUGACCUCUUAGUGGCGCAGCUAACGCAUUAAGUUGACCGCCUGGGGAGUACGGCCGCAAGGUUAAAACUCAAAUGAAUUGACGGGGGCCCGCACAAGCGGUGGAGCAUGUGGUUUAAUUCGAAGCAACGCGAAGAACCUUACCAGGCCUUGACAUCCAAUGAACUUUCCAGAGAUGGAUUGGUGCCUUCGG
RNAcentral lists this ribosomal RNA (337 nucleotides) under Pseudomonas sp. C162. RNAcentral's name for it is "bacterial SSU rRNA". It matches the Rfam family "Bacterial small subunit ribosomal RNA", at positions 687 to 1023 of the family's 1533-position model. Lineage: Bacteria; Pseudomonadati; Pseudomonadota; Gammaproteobacteria; Pseudomonadales; Pseudomonadaceae. The record is from RNAcentral.